This 33-nucleotide transfer RNA is filed under the name Salvelinus alpinus (Arctic char). Its description in RNAcentral is "partial tRNA-Pro". Lineage: Eukaryota; Metazoa; Chordata; Actinopteri; Salmoniformes; Salmonidae. The record is from RNAcentral.
CAAAGCUAAGAUUCUAAAUUAAACUACCCUCUG